Molecule: ribosomal RNA, 853 nt
Filed under: Hebeloma syrjense
Lineage: Eukaryota; Fungi; Basidiomycota; Agaricomycetes; Agaricales; Hymenogastraceae
Description: eukaryotic LSU rRNA
Rfam family: Eukaryotic large subunit ribosomal RNA
Source: RNAcentral
AGUAACUGCGAGUGAAGYGGGAAAAGCUCAAAUUUAAAAUCUGGCGGUCUCCGGCCGUCCGAGUUGUAAUCUAGAGAAGUGUUAUCCGCGUUGGACCGUGUACAAGUCUCCUGGAAUGGAGCGUCAUAGAGGGUGAGAAUCCCGUCUUUGACACGGACUGCCAGGGCUUUGUGAUGCGCUCUCAAAGAGUCGAGUUGUUUGGGAAUGCAGCUCAAAAUGGGUGGUAAAUUCCAUCUAAAGCUAAAUAUUGGCGAGAGACCGAUAGCGAACAAGUACCGUGAGGGAAAGAUGAAAAGAACUUUGGAAAGAGAGUUAAACAGUACGUGAAAUUGCUGAAAGGGAAACGCUUGAAGUCAGUCGCGUUGGCCGGGGAUCAACCUUGCUUUUGCGGGGCGUAUUUUCCGGUUGACGGGUCAGCAUCAAUUUUGAUCGUUGGAUAAAGUCUAGGGGAAUGUGGCAUCUUCGGAUGUGUUAUAGCCCUUGGUCGCAUACAACGGUUGGGAUUGAGGAACUCAGCACGCCGCAAGGCCGGGUACUUGUACCACGUUCGUGCUUAGGAUGCUGGCAUAAUGGCUUUAAUCGACCCGUCUUGAAACACGGACCAAGGAGUCUAACAUGCCUGCGAGUGUUUGGGUGGAAAACUCGGACGCGCAAUGAAAGUGAAAGUUGAGAUCCCUGUCGCGGGGAGCAUCGACGCCCGGACCAGACCUUUUGUGACGGAUCCGCGGUAGAGCAUGUAUGUUGGGACCCGAAAGAUGGUGAACUAUGCCUGAAUAGGGUGAAGCCAGAGGAAACUCUGGUGGAGGCUCGUAGCGAUUCUGACGUGCAAAUCGAUCGUCAAAUUUGGGUAUAG